GCUUCAGUCUUGUGUGGCUUCCUUCCCCCUUCCAUUUCCUUCCUCAGGACUAACUUUGUUGAGCCUCCACAAUGAGAUGUGGACUGAGUUGGAUUUUUAUUUUGUCCAUUUUUCAAGGUGUCCAUUGUGAUAUUCAGCUGGUGGAGUCUGGGGGAGAUGUGAGACAGCCUGGAGGAUCCCUGAAACUUUCCUGCAAAGCUUCUGGAUUCGACUUCAGUAGCUAUUGGAUGAAUUGGGUCCGCCAGGCUCCAGGAAAGGGGCUGGAGUGGGUCUCCAGUAUUAAUGGUGAUGGCAGUAGCACAAACUAUGCAGACUCUGUGAAAGGCCGAUUCACCAUCUCCAGGGACAAUGGCAACAGCCUGCUGCACCUGCAGAUGAAUUCCCUGAAAGCUGAGGACACAGCCACGUAUUACUGUGCAAGAGACACAGUGCGAGAACAAAGCAUGAGACUAUGUAUAAAACUGCCUCUUUCAUGUAGGCUUCGAGGAUCCUGGCUUAGAGAGAGCUUAACCACAGGAGUUUACUUGCAGUCUGUGGUUUCUUCUCCUUUCCCAGACAACAAUUAUCCCAAAGGUCCUCUUUCCCUUCCUAUCUCUGAGACGCUUUCCUCUUCCUAG
Non-coding RNA from Monodelphis domestica (gray short-tailed opossum), 617 nucleotides. The record is from the annotation of a RefSeq genome assembly. NCBI's taxonomy places the organism in Eukaryota, Metazoa, Chordata, Mammalia, Didelphimorphia, Didelphidae.